AUUGAACGCUGGCGGCAUGCCUUACACAUGCAAGUCGAACGGCAGCACGGGAGCUUGCUCCUGGUGGCGAGUGGCGAACGGGUGAGUAAUACAUCGGAACGUACCCUGAAGUGGGGGAUAACGUAGCGAAAGUUACGCUAAUACCGCAUAUUCUGUGAGCAGGAAAGAGGGGGAUCGCAAGACCUCUUGCUUUAGGAGCGGCCGAUGUCGGAUUAGCUAGUUGGUGAGGUAAAGGCGCACCAAGGCGACGAUCCGUAGCGGGUCUGAGAGGAUGAUCCGCCACACUGGGACUGAGACACGGCCCAGACUCCUACGGGAGGCAGCAGUGGGGAAUUUUGGACAAUGGGCGCAAGCCUGAUCCAGCCAUGCCGCGUGAGUG
RNAcentral lists this ribosomal RNA (379 nucleotides) under uncultured bacterium. RNAcentral describes it as "bacterial SSU rRNA". It matches the Rfam family "Bacterial small subunit ribosomal RNA", at positions 30 to 407 of the family's 1533-position model. The record is from RNAcentral.